Carassius auratus (goldfish) is the source of this 2008-nucleotide RNA transcript. It is a transcript of the gene named tricarboxylate transport protein, mitochondrial, with no coding region annotated. Lineage: Eukaryota; Metazoa; Chordata; Actinopteri; Cypriniformes; Cyprinidae. The record is from RefSeq and is a predicted model, not a curated record. The transcript is spliced from 16 exons.
GCUGAGCGCAGUCGCACGUCAUCAGCCCAUGAUCGGCGGAUCGCGCGCUGCUCUCAGAUCAGAUGAAACAGCGCUGUGAGGAUCAGACUGAAGAUGAAGAGCAAAGCCACACUCACUCAUCCUGGAAAAGCCAUCCUGGCAGGUGGAAUCGCAGGCGGCAUUGAGAUCUGCAUCACGUUUCCUACAGAGUAUGUGAAGACUCAACUACAGUUAGACGAGAAAGCCAAUCCGCCACGUUACAGAGGCAUCACGGACUGUGUGUCUCAGACGGUCCGUCAUCAUGGAGUGAAGGGGUUAUACCGAGGCCUCAGCUCGCUGCUGUACGGGUCCAUCCCUAAAUCUGCCGUCAGGUUCGGUGUGUUUGAGAUACUCAGUAACCAGAUGAGGGACGAGGCUGGGAAGCUGGACAGCACUCGAGGGUUAAUCUGUGGUUUGGGUGCCGGCGUGAUGGAGGCCGUCCUGAUCGUCUGCCCCAUGGAGACCAUAAAGGUGAAAUUCAUCCAUGAUCAAACCUCGGCUAAUCCCAAAUACAGAGGCUUUUUCCACGGAGUGCGAGAGAUCAUCAGAACCCAAGGAAUCAGAGGGACGUAUCAAGGCCUCACAGCGACCGUCCUCAAACAGGGAUCCAAUCAGGCGAUCCGGUUCUUCGUCAUGACCUCUCUGAGGAACUGGUACAAGGGUGACAAUCCCAACAAAUCCAUCAACCCCGUCAUCACCGGAGCGUUCGGUGCGAUCGCAGGAGCGGCGAGUGUGUUUGGAAACACGCCGCUGGACGUCAUCAAGACCAGAAUGCAGGGUUUGGAAGCUCAUAAAUAUAAAAACACAAUGGAUUGUGCCCUGAAGAUCAUGCAGCAUGAAGGACCAGCGGCGAAUCAGAGGGACGUAUCAAGGCCUCACAGCGACCGUCCUCAAACAGGGAUCCAAUCAGGCGAUCCGGUUCUUCGUCAUGACCUCUCUGAGGAACUGGUACAAGGGUGACAAUCCCAACAAAUCCAUCAACCCCGUCAUCACCGGAGCGUUCGGUGCGAUCGCAGGAGCGGCGAGUGUGUUUGGAAACACGCCGCUGGACGUCAUCAAGACCAGAAUGCAGGGUUUGGAAGCUCAUAAAUAUAAAAACACAAUGGAUUGUGCCCUGAAGAUCAUGCAGCAUGAAGGACCAGCGGCAUUCUUCCAUGCUGAUGGCCGUGCAUGUAUCCAGCUGAAGAACAUUUUUAGACAUUAUGAAACAUAUGACUAAAUUAAGCUCCAACCCCAGUUAAACAGAUCUGAGCAGCUGAUCAAGGAUCAGCAGAAACUCUGCAGAACGGUGCUCCUCCAGCCCAGGACUGGACACCAGUGUUAUGUUGGAGAAAAAACAGUGAGGCUAAAGUAUUCAAAGUGGAAACAUCUGCCGUGGCUCAUUAAUCCAGAAUUGGGAUGGAGGAAGGAGCAGAAGAAGCAGAAGAUCAGAGAUCAGGCAGAGAUCUACUGGUGCCCCUGUGGGAAACCAUUUACCUAAUGUGAAUCAGAGGGACGUAUCAAGGCCUCACAGCGACCGUCCUCAAACAGGGAUCCAAUCAGGCGAUCCGGUUCUUCGUCAUGACCUCUCUGAGGAACUGGUACAAGGGUGACAAUCCCAACAAAUCCAUCAACCCCGUCAUCACCGGAGCGUUCGGUGCGAUCGCAGGAGCGGCGAGUGUGUUUGGAAACACGCCGCUGGACGUCAUCAAGACCAGAAUGCAGGUGCACAGAUCAGUUAUCAAGAUUAUUAUUCACAUUUAUUUAAAAUGUAUUCAGAAUUUGAUUUAUAAAGCACUUAAAAAAAUAAGAAAGUGCUGUAUAAAAAAAAUAAAAAAAUAUAGGAAAACAAAAUAUUAGAAGAAACAAGAAAACAAAUCAAUAUCAUAUUAGAAAUCUAAAUAAAAUUAGCAGCUCUUGAUAUUUAUGGUUUCUUGCCCCAAAUUUCAGUCCUUUUUUGUCAAUCAGCUGAGAUUGUAGCACUAUGUUGGUAAUUAACUUGCUAUUAUAA